This 465-nucleotide ribosomal RNA is filed under the name uncultured bacterium. Its description in RNAcentral is "partial 16S ribosomal RNA". It matches the Rfam family "Bacterial small subunit ribosomal RNA", at positions 28 to 507 of the family's 1533-position model. The record is from RNAcentral.
GACGAACGCUGGCGGCGUGCUUAACACAUGCAAGUCGAACGGAAAGGCCCCUUUUGGGGUCGUCGAGUGGCGAACGGGUGGGUAACACGUGAGUAACUUGCCCUUGACUUCCGGAUAGCUUCCGUAAACUGGGGCUAAUACCUGCUAGGAAUCCUUGCUGCCUGUUGGGUGGUGGAGCGCUGCGGCGGGUUGGGGUUGACUCGCGGCCUAUCAGGGUGUUGGUGGGGUAGUGGCUUACCAAGGCUUUGACGGGUAGCCGGCCCGAGAGGGCGACCGGGCUCAGUGGGACUGAGACACGGACCAGACCCCUACGGGAGGGAGCGGUGGGGGAUAUUGCAAAAUGGGGGGGAGCCUGAGGCAGCAACGCCGCGGGCGGGAUGACGGUCUUCGGGUUGGAAACCGAUUUCAGCAUGGGCCAAGAUGGUAGUGACGGUACCUGGAGAAGAAGCACCGGCUAACUACGUG